AUGCACUGGUUUUCUUGGUGGAAAUUAUGCAUUCCAAAAUGUGAUGGUGGUAUGGGAUUCAGGGAUCUACACUCCUUUAAUUUGGCUUUAUUAGCUAAGCAAUGUUGGAGACUGAUUACAAAUCCAGAAUCUAUUUGUUCCCAAAUCUUGAAGGCCAAAUACUUCCCAUCCACUGAUUUACUCUCUGCAGGCCCCAAAAAAGUAUCUUCUUUUACAUGGCAGAGUAUCAUUGCGGGUCUUGCCACUUUUAAGCGUGGCUGUAUUUGGCGAAUUGGUUCCGGAGAGAAGGUGAAUAUAUGGAACAAUCCAUGGGUUCCUGCAAGUCCGGACAGGAAGAUUUUAACUCCUCGGGGACACACCGUGAUAUCUAAGGUGGUGGAGCUAAUUGAUCCAGUUACAGGACAGUGGGAUGACGACUUGAUCAGAGACAUCUUUAACCAUGUGGAUGUAACAAGGAUUCUACAGAUUCCGAUAAAUUUUCAAGCCUUUGAUGAUUUUGUUGCUUGGCAUCUUACGAGUUCAGGGAUUUUUUCAGUGAGGACUGCUUACCACGAGCAAUGGUCACAUAAAUACAGAGGCAAAGUAGGAGAUAAUCUCACAUCCAGUAGUCAGGAAUCAGCAAUAUGGAAUCACCUUUGGGAGUUGCAAGUUCCACGAAAAGUACAGAUUUCUUGUUGGAGAGCGCUUCGGGGAAUUGUCCCUCUGAAAUCAAUAUUAUCAAAUAAACACUUGCCUGUGAGUGGUGUAUGUCCGGUUUGCAAGAAUGGCCCUGAAGAUGUGAGACACCUACUCUUUCAAUGCGUACUUGCCAAGAGAUUGUGGACUGAUCUGGGCCUUAUUGAUAAGGUAAACAGUGCUUUA
Molecule: ribosomal RNA, 861 nt
Filed under: Triticum aestivum (bread wheat)
Lineage: Eukaryota; Viridiplantae; Streptophyta; Magnoliopsida; Poales; Poaceae
Description: partial small subunit ribosomal RNA
Source: RNAcentral